RNAcentral lists this ribosomal RNA (218 nucleotides) under uncultured Lactobacillus sp. RNAcentral's name for it is "partial 16S ribosomal RNA". It matches the Rfam family "Bacterial small subunit ribosomal RNA", at positions 144 to 355 of the family's 1533-position model. Lineage: Bacteria; Bacillati; Bacillota; Bacilli; Lactobacillales; Lactobacillaceae. The record is from RNAcentral.
UAACACCUGGAAACAAGAUGCUAAUACCGGAUAACAACAGAUGAUGCCUAUCAACUGUUUAAAGAUGGUUCUGCUAUCACUCUUGGAUGGACCUGCGGUGCAUUAGCUAGUUGGUAGGGUAACGGCCUACCAAGGCGAUGAUGCAUAGCCGAGUUGAGAGACUGAUCGGCCACAUUGGGACUGAGACACGGCCCAAACUCCUACGGGAGGCAGCAGCC